RNAcentral lists this ribosomal RNA (137 nucleotides) under uncultured bacterium. RNAcentral describes it as "partial 16S ribosomal RNA". It matches the Rfam family "Bacterial small subunit ribosomal RNA", at positions 252 to 388 of the family's 1533-position model. The record is from RNAcentral.
GUGGGGUAACGGCCCACCAAGGCGACGAUCAGUAGCUGGUCUGAGAGGAUGAUCAGCCUCACUGGGACUGAGACACGGCCCACACUCCUACGGGAGGCAGCAGUGGGGAAUAUUGGACAAUGGGCGCAAGCCUGAUC